AUAACCAACCAAUAAUGUGGGCUGAUAAGAUAUUAUAAAUAGUAACUUUGAAGCCUGUAAAAGGGGUCUUUCUCUCUCUUGAACGAGAAGACCACCGCAUUUUCAAUACUUUUCUUUCCUGCAUUUAUCGUUUUCUACGAGUAGUCUACAUGUAAUCUUUUUUAUCCGCAUUUAUUGCUUUUCUAGGAGUAGCUUUUAAGUUAGAUCUCUGAAGUCUGUAUGUCCCACGGGCACACUCUGUUGUAAUCUAGAUUUUCAGAGUCUGUAUGCCUUUCGGGCACACUCUGUUUUGUAUGAGUUCCCAACUUCAUUUUAAUAUAUAAAGGCAUUCGGCUUCUUUAGCCGACCAGUCACUGUGUAUUCCAUCUAUUCGGCUCAUCAGCCGACUGAAAACCUUGUGCAUUCUGUAUAUUCGGCUCUUCCAGCCGAACCGAAUCUAUAAUAAAGGUCUUCGAACUCGGCUGAUCCGAUCCCUUAUCAACCGAAUCAUUUGAUCCAGUCGAAGGGCGCAAACUUUGAGGGUCACUGAUCGUAGCCGUUUCGCUUCCCGACACGCUUCCCUAGGAGGAUCUUUGACCAGGUCAAAAAGGAGGGAAUUCGGCUUCUAACACUCACAUUAGGUUUUGGAACAUUAAUUCUGCAUUUGAAAACGUGACAUAGACUGAAAAUUUGGGUAUUACGUACAAUAGUUCUUCACAAUUUUAUGUACAACCAAACAAGCACCCACUGUAAUUUCUAGCUCAAAUUUUAUAAAUUUGUUCAAUCAUAUCUCAUAACUCAAUUUAGUUAACUAAAUAAUGACGUAUUACUGAUGUGAAAAUGAUGUAAUAUCUUAAUUUUUAUCGUGUUAUCAAUCGUAAUACUAUAAUGUUAUUUUUAUAUUUGCGACACAUCAUCAUUCAGUCAAUUAAACUGAAUUAUUAAACUUAAGUAUAAUAAUUUAAAAAGCUCAUGCUAAAAAUAGUAAUAAAACAAAUUGCAGGAUUAUAAUGUCUAGUUUGAUGACCAAAAAUAUAAUUUAACCCAUAGUUAUAUAUUAGAAUGGUCAAAAUUAAUCUAUCUAUCUAUACCUAUACAUUAUUUCUCUUGGAGUUUGCCACGUGGCAAUUCCUCCUUCACCUCUCCUUUUUACUCCAAAAUUUAUACUCUCCAAUCAUUGCUUCCCUAUAACGUCUGUCUCUUCGGCUUUCCAUCUUAUUAAUUCAUUUCCUGUAACGUCUGCCUAUUCGGCUUCCUGUCUUAUUAAUUUUAUUUCAUAACGUAUGUCUUUUCGGCUUCCCAUCUUAUUAAUUUCUUCUCUGUAAUGUGGUUGCUUUGACUUUCCCCAUUAGUUUCUAUUUUCUAAGAGGCGUUAGGCUUCUGCUGGCU
RNAcentral lists this long non-coding RNA (1368 nucleotides) under Ananas comosus (pineapple). RNAcentral's name for it is "long non-coding RNA (ACOM_LNC016403)". Lineage: Eukaryota; Viridiplantae; Streptophyta; Magnoliopsida; Poales; Bromeliaceae. The record is from RNAcentral.